UCGUAACAAGGUUUCCGUAGGUGAACCUGCGGAAGGAUCAUUACCGAGUGUAGGGUUCCUAGCGAGCCCAACCUCCCACCCGUGUUUACUGUACCUUAGUUGCUUCGGCGGGCCCGCCAUUCAUGGCCGCCGGGGGCUCUCAGCCCCGGGCCCGCGCCCGCCGGAGACACCACGAACUCUGUCUGAUCUAGUGAAGUCUGAGUUGAUUGUAUCGCAAUCAGUUAAAACUUUCAACAAUGGAUCUCUUGGUUCCGGCAUCGAUGAAGAACGCAGCGAAAUGCGAUAACUAGUGUGAAUUGCAGAAUUCCGUGAAUCAUCGAGUCUUUGAACGCACAUUGCGCCCCCUGGUAUUCCGGGGGGCAUGCCUGUCCGAGCGUCAUUGCUGCCCAUCAAGCACGGCUUGUGUGUUGGGUCGUCGUCCCCUCUCCGGGGGGGACGGGCCCCAAAGGCAGCGGCGGCACCGCGUCCGAUCCUCGAGCGUAUGGGGCUUUGUCACCCGCUCUGUAGGCCCGGCCGGCGCUUGCCGAACGCAAAUCAAUCUUUUUCCAGGUUGACCUCGGAUCAGGUAGGGAUACCCGCUGAACUUAAGCAUAUC
This 595-nucleotide unclassified non-coding RNA is filed under the name Aspergillus flavus. Its description in RNAcentral is "sequence contains 18S rRNA gene, ITS1, 5.8S rRNA gene, ITS2, 28S rRNA gene". The stretch from base 226 to 379 matches the Rfam family "5.8S ribosomal RNA". The record is from RNAcentral. Lineage: Eukaryota; Fungi; Ascomycota; Eurotiomycetes; Eurotiales; Aspergillaceae.